RNAcentral lists this ribosomal RNA (497 nucleotides) under uncultured bacterium. RNAcentral describes it as "partial 16S ribosomal RNA". It matches the Rfam family "Bacterial small subunit ribosomal RNA", at positions 28 to 507 of the family's 1533-position model. The record is from RNAcentral.
GAUGAACGCUGGCGGCGUGCCUAAUACAUGCAAGUCGAGCGAACGGACGAGAAGCUUGCUUCUCUGCUGUUAGCGGCGGACGGGUGAGUAACACGUGGAUAACCUACCUAUAAGACUGGGAUAACUUCGGGAAACCGUAGCUAAUACCGGAUAAUAUUUUGAACCGCAUGGAUCAAAAGUGAAAGACGGUCUUGCUGUCACUUAUAGAUGGAUCCGCGCUGCAUUAGCUAGUUGGUAAGGUAACGGCUUACCAAGGCAACGAUGCAUAGCCGACCUGAGAGGGUGAUCGGCCACACUGGAACUGAGACACGGUCCAGACUCCUACGGGAGGCAGCAGUAGGGAAUCUUCCGCAAUGGGCGAAAGCCUGACGGAGCAACGCCGCGUGAGUGAUGAAGGUCUUCGGAUCGUAAAACUCUGUUAUUAGGGAAGAACAUAUGUGUAAGUAACUGUGCACAUCUUGACGGUACCUAAUCAGAAAGCCACGGCUAACUACGUG